UUGGGUUAUUCCAAUUGGUAAAUUUUAUAGAACCACCCUGGCCCAGUGUUAUACAGUUCUGUUAGUCUUUAGUAAGGUUCUAAGGGAACUCUAGUAGAAGAAAGUUGUCAUAGAAUAAUAAAGUUAAGAACAAUGGCCACCGCUUUAUCAUCUGUUACUCACUUCACCUACAUUCAUGGUGAUUGUAAUGCUCUACAGAUGGGUACAACAAACACAAUACAUGAAAAUAGCUACCCAAACGACAUCGACGAUCUCAGAUCGGAAAUUGAAGAUCUGAGAUUUGAUAUCAGAAGAAGAACUGAAGAUGUUGAUGCAAAGAUGGAAAGAAAAGAUGAAGAAAUCGCAGAAUUAAAAGACAGGGUGGCUGACCUGGAAGCAUUUAAGAAGAAAGUAGAACAAUCAGAAGUUACGACAAACACCAACACUAAUACUAGACGUUAUAUCAGGGAUACGAAUAAUGAUAUUACUCUAAAGUUAAAUGACUUUUGGUCAGGUAAUGAUGUGGGUACUAUAACUGUCAGUAAGAAAGUCAGUGUUAAUGAUUUAAUGAAGUUGAUAGAAGAGAAGAAGAAUGUAAAGAUUAGUUGGAUUGUUCUAGGAUAUGAUGGGAGAUUCUACGGCAGUUAUGAUAACAACAAUGACUAUAACCUGGCGCAACUUGGUGUUGGAGACCGGGGCGAGGUGGUGUACCGUUGAUAGUAAAAUACAGUGAUUAUAUUGAUAUGAUGUAUUGAUGGACUCCUUUAUAUUAAACAAUGAGUUGUAGGGUGCGGGGGGGGGGGCAGUAGGAGGUUAGAUAUUUGUAGAGAUACUAUAACUAUCAGUAAGAAAGUCAGUGUUAAUGAUUUAAUGAAGUUGAUAGAAGAGAAGAAAAAUGUAAAGAUUAGUUGGAUUGUUAUAGGAGGAUAUGAUGGGAGAUAUAUCUACGGCAGUUAUGAUAACAACAAUGACUAUAACCUGGAACAACUUGGUGUUGUAGACCAGGACGUGGUUGAGUACUAUACAUGGUAAAAUAUAGUGAUUAUAUUGAUAUGAUAUUUUGAUGUGUUCAACACUUGUAUAUUGCACAGUGGUGUGUGGAGGGUGGGGGGGGGGGUCUGAAGGGGAAUAGAUAUUAUUUUUAGGAAUUAUCAAUUGUUCUUUUGUUUUUUGAGUAGGUGGUGAGGGUGGAAUGUUUAGUAGGUGGUGAGGGUGUUGUGGUGUGGUGUGUGGUAUGAAGCCCACCAGCACCCUGGUAUCUUAUACCCCCCCCCCCCCCCCAUCCACCUAAUCCAUAUAUUGAAUUCUAUUCUAAGUAAUCUAACCUCAUAACACAAAACUCGCUUAAUAAUACAUAUAAUUCAUUCAAUAGUCACAAUUAUCAGGUGAUACAUUAGUCGUGGUUAUCAGGUGAUAUUUGGCUGACCUAGAAUAAUAGAGAACGGUUAACUAACAUGAUUGAACUAUCCAUUGUAUAAUUAUAUUAGUGAAAUAAUGUUUUAUAUUUUUUAUUCUAAUUUUGUUUCAAUAAAAUAUUUUAUAAUUAAA
This is a long non-coding RNA of Patella vulgata (common limpet), 1527 nucleotides long. RefSeq lists it as uncharacterized. The record is from RefSeq and is a predicted model, not a curated record. NCBI's taxonomy places the organism in Eukaryota, Metazoa, Mollusca, Gastropoda, Patellidae. The transcript has 3 exons.